RNAcentral lists this long non-coding RNA (201 nucleotides) under Capsella rubella. RNAcentral describes it as "long non-coding RNA (CRUB_LNC002954)". Lineage: Eukaryota; Viridiplantae; Streptophyta; Magnoliopsida; Brassicales; Brassicaceae. The record is from RNAcentral.
AAAAUCCAAAAAUCCUUUACAUAUACAUACAUAGAUGAUUGAAACGUAUACAUUUUUUUCCUUUUCUAUUAAUUUUGUUGUUGUAUGAAUAUUUUUUCUAUCUUACUUUAUCUUAAACUGUAAUCCAAUUUAUAACCACACAAUAUUAACAUCUGUCCUUAAGCAUAGAAAUUUAUCUUCCCUAAUCCUAGUCCUUACACC